RNAcentral lists this non-coding RNA (100 nucleotides) under Thiomicrospira aerophila. Its description in RNAcentral is "Thioalkalimicrobium aerophilum TPP sequence". It matches the Rfam family "TPP riboswitch aptamer (THI element)". Rfam says of the family: Vitamin B(1) in its active form thiamin pyrophosphate (TPP) is an essential coenzyme that is synthesised by coupling of pyrimidine and thiazole moieties in bacteria. The previously detected thiamin-regulatory element, thi box was extended, resulting in a new, highly conserved RNA secondary structure, the THI element, which is widely distributed in eubacteria and also occurs in some archaea. The record is from RNAcentral. Lineage: Bacteria; Pseudomonadati; Pseudomonadota; Gammaproteobacteria; Thiotrichales; Piscirickettsiaceae.
AACCUUGCCAAGGGGUGGCUUCGGCCUGAGAUUGCGUAUGCAAAACCCUUUGAACCUGAUCUGGAUCAUACCAGCGUAGGGACAGGCGCCAAACUGCAAA